This 423-nucleotide ribosomal RNA is filed under the name uncultured bacterium. RNAcentral's name for it is "bacterial SSU rRNA". It matches the Rfam family "Bacterial small subunit ribosomal RNA", at positions 207 to 622 of the family's 1533-position model. The record is from RNAcentral.
AAGACCUUGCGCUUUUGGAGCGGCCGAUGUCUGAUUAGCUUGUUGGUAAGGUAAAAGCUUACCAAGGCUUAGAUCAGUAGCUGGUCUGAGAGGACGACCAGCCACACUGGGACUGAGACACGGCCCAGACUCCUACGGGAGGCAGCAGUGGGGAAUUUUGGACAAUGGGGGCAACCCUGAUCCAGCCAUGCCGCGUGAGUGAAGAAGGCCUUCGGGUUGUAAAGCUCUUUCAGCCGGAACGAAACGGUUACGGUUAAUACCCGUGACUACUGACGGUACCGGAAGAAGAAGCACCGGCUAACUACGUGCCAGCAGCCGCGGUAAUACGUAGGGUGCAAGCGUUAAUCGGAAUUACUGGGCGUAAAGCGUGCGCAGGUGGUUUUGUAAGUCAGAUGUGAAAUCCCCGGGCUUAACCUGGGAACU